RNAcentral lists this ribosomal RNA (1296 nucleotides) under uncultured Vannellidae. RNAcentral's name for it is "SSU rRNA". It matches the Rfam family "Eukaryotic small subunit ribosomal RNA", at positions 1 to 1148 of the family's 1831-position model. Lineage: Eukaryota; Discosea; Flabellinia; Vannellidae. The record is from RNAcentral.
ACCUGGUUGAUCCUGCCAGUAGUGAUAUGCUUGUCUCAAAGAUUAAGCCAUGCAAGUCUAAGUAUAAAUCAUUUUUACUGAUGAAACUGCGAACGGCUCAUUAAAUCAGUUAUAGUUUAUUUGAUGGUAUUGGGACUUGUCCCAACUACAUGGAUAACUGUAGUAACCUAGAGCUAAUACAUGCAAAUCAACCCAACUAGUAUUCGGAAGGGUUGGCACUUAUUAGAUAACAAACCAAUACCUUCGGGUUUAAAUGGUGAAUCAUAAUAACUGAACAGAUCGCAUGGCCUUUGUGCCGGCGACGUUUCAUUCAAAUUUCUGCCCUAUCAACUAGAUGUUAGUAUAUAGGACUAACAUGGUUUUAACGGGUGACGGGGAAUUGGGGUUCGAUUCCGGAGAAGGAGCAUGAGAAACGGCUACUACUUCUAAGGAAAGCAGCAGGCGCGCAAAUUAUUCAAUGGAAACAAUUUUCCGAAAUAGUGACAAAAAAUAACAAUGUAUUGCACAAUGUGUGAUACAAUUGGAAUGAGUACAAUUUAAAACCCUUAACGAGUAACAAUUAGAGGGCAAGUCUGGUGCCAGCAGCCGCGGUAAUUCCAGCUCUAAUAGCGUAUAUUAAUAUUGUUGCAGUUAAAAAGCUCGUAGUUGAAACUUGAGUAUUUCUAUCAAGUUUGGUCUACCUUUUAAGGUUUUGACUACUUGAUGAUACUCUUCCUACUAGUAACUCGAUUAUGUUCUUAAUUGAGUGUAAUAGCUAUCUUUCGGGGUAGUCAAUCUAUGAGAAUAGCUCCACCAUACUGAUGGAAGUGUGUAAAAGCACUGAAAGAAGAUGAGUGGAUCAAGUUAUACUUGUAGAUUGGAGUUCUAGUUCGUUUACUUUGAGAAAAUUAGAGUGUUUAAAGCAGCCUCUUGGGGCUCUGAAUACAUUAGCAUGGGAUAAUAGAAUAGGAUUUAAGUCACUAUAUUUGUUGGUUUGAAUGAUCUUAAAUAAUGAUUAAUAGGGACAGUUGGGGGUAUUUAUAUUGGAUGGUUAGCGGUGAAAUGCAUGGAUCCAUUCAAGAUAAACUAAGGCGAAAGCAUUUACCAAGGAUGUUUUCAUUAAUCAAGAACGGAAGUUAAGGGAUCGAAGACGAUCAGAUACCGUCGUAGUCUUAACUAUAAACUAUGCCGACCAGGGAUAUGAGUUGUUAUGAAUAGUAUUCUAAUAGUAUUAUUCAACUUCCUCUUGUGGACCUUGUGAGAAAUCAUAAGUUUUUGGGUUCUGGGGGGAGUAUGGUCGCAAGGCUGAAACUUAAA